RNAcentral lists this long non-coding RNA (224 nucleotides) under Capsicum annuum. RNAcentral's name for it is "long non-coding RNA (CANN_LNC003765)". Lineage: Eukaryota; Viridiplantae; Streptophyta; Magnoliopsida; Solanales; Solanaceae. The record is from RNAcentral.
UACGUAUCCCAACCCGAGGGAAGGGAAUCAGGUAUGCGUAGUUCAUCCAGAUUGGACAAUUAACAAUUAACUAAUAAAUUGACCCUAACUUAAGAGACACAACCAAAAACAAAUGAAUAAAACUUUUUGGAUUUUCAACUAGACAUUUCAACUAAGAUUGACACCACCAAUUAUGAAAAAAAAAAAUCUUUUUGGUAUUUUGUUUUUGACCAAUAAGUAUAAAA